RNAcentral lists this ribosomal RNA (497 nucleotides) under uncultured bacterium. RNAcentral's name for it is "partial 16S ribosomal RNA". It matches the Rfam family "Bacterial small subunit ribosomal RNA", at positions 28 to 507 of the family's 1533-position model. The record is from RNAcentral.
GAUGAACGCUGGCGGCGUGCCUAAUACAUGCAAGUCGAGCGAACAGACGAGGAGCUUGCUCCUCUGACGUUAGCGGCGGACGGGUGAGUAACACGUGGAUAACCUACCUAUAAGACUGGGAUAACUUCGGGAAACCGGAGCUAAUACCGGAUAAUAUAUUGAACCGCAUGGUUCAAUAGUGAAAGACGGUUUUGCUGUCACUUAUAGAUGGAUCCGCGCCGCAUUAGCGAGUUGGUAAGGUAACGGCUUACCAAGGCAACGAUGCGUAGCCGACCUGAGAGGGUGAUCGCCCACACUGGAACUGAGACACGCUCCAGGCUCCUACGGGAGGCAGCAGUAGGGAAUCUUCCGCAAUGGGGGAAAGCCUGACGGAGCAACGCCGCGUGAGUGAUGAAGGUCUUCGGUUCGUAAAACUCUGUUAUUAGGGAAAAACAAAUGUGGAAGUAACUAUGCCCGUCUUGACGGUACCUAAUCAGAAAGCCACGGCUAACUACGUG